RNAcentral lists this long non-coding RNA (1780 nucleotides) under Macaca fascicularis (crab-eating macaque). Its description in RNAcentral is "lncRNA (ENSMFAG00000064081.1)". The record is from RNAcentral. Lineage: Eukaryota; Metazoa; Chordata; Mammalia; Primates; Cercopithecidae.
UGAGCCAACAUUUAAAGCCACAUAACAUGGAAACAGUUAUAGCAUAUGUCUUUAAAACAAGGCACUUGGGCCGGGCACAGGUGCUCACACCUGUACGCGCCCGGCCGUCUGUGCCUUUUUUUGUCUUGUUUUGUUGUUUUUUUAGCUAGGUCCCAUUCCUAACAAUGGGGAGAAAAAUCUCUAAGGGAAGGAGGGAAGUGGAAGGAAGGAAAGGAGGGAGGAAGGGCAGUAAAACUGAGAAAGUUCCAACACACACUGCCAAAACCACUGGCAAAUUUCUCAAAAGCAUCCGUUCACGAAUAAGGCUAUCAGUAAGCUAAUUCUAGAAAGAAGAGUUGUCCUAAAGCUCAGCAUUGGGAAAUAUUUCAGAGAAAAACUGCGUGAGUGUUUGAAGGUACAGAUGUCUGACCUACCUGGCCAUUCCAACUCCUACAGGUGCGACUGUGACAGACAGCUCACCACCUCCACUCCCACUGCCCGCUUCAGCCACACGGGGGGUCACCCUCCAAUCAGGGUCAUCCUGUUACUUCUUUUUAAAAUAUACUUUGGGGGUAAAAUCUAACAAUGGAAAUUCAGUCCCAAUUUUCAAGGCCGUUGAUUCUACUCUUUUAUUAUUGAUUAUUCUUGAGCCUCAAAAUAGAUACUAAUAUUCCCCCAGGCUUUUUCUGGGUUGUUGUCAGUUAGAAAAAACAGGCUAGAACAGUGGUUCUCAACUGAGGGCUGUUUUGCCCCUCUAGGAAACCUGUGGCAAUAUUUGGAGAUAUUUGUGAUUGUCAAGAGUGAGGGGCUUAGGCUUGGGGUGCUACUGGCAUCUAGUGGGGAGAGGCCAGGGAUGCCACUGCACAUCUACAAUGCACAGGACAUCUCCCCAGCAAAGGAUGAGCCAGUCCACAUAGCAACUGUCCCAAAAGUGGGCAGCCCUGGGCCACACCCGUCAACUUAAACACUGGCUUCCUUGUGGGCACUGCCCCUAAAUCUAAAGAAAAUAGACUGAAAGAGAAAGUGGGGAGUCAGGAAGAGAGUGGGAAAGGGAGAAAGAGGUGGAGAGAACUGAAAAGACAGAGAGAAGAGGAGUGGCCCACACCAUCUACUUCUGGCAAUAAAGAAGCUGUGGAAUCCCAGUCAAUUUCAUCAUUGUAGAAAUCAUUUGAAUUCCAGAGUUGCCUGAAGCUGAGAAUCCAGGCUCCUAGGGAACUCCGCGCCUUGUGAAGGGGGAAGGCAGCCUGAAAUGGCAGAGGGGGCAGGGGGACUGCAUUUGUCAGCAACCCCCUGCCUGCCCACAGCCCUCCACCAAAAAAAAAAAAAAAAAAACUCCGAGUGACUUCCCUCCAGAGCUGGGCUUGGCCACUAAGGCAGGGAUGUCAGGGGCUGCCCUAGAUUUGGUGGCUCAGCUGUGAGCCCUGCAACGGCGGCUGCAGGAGAUGAAAAACAAAUAUACUUCCUGAAGUCAAAGAGAUAAAAAUACAAUUUCUGCUGCGUAUGCCACUCUCUCAUGCAGCAGCAACACUUAUGUGGGGUGACGGGGGGAGGAGGAUGACCACGCAAGCUUAAGUGAUUUUUUUUUAAACACGAUCCAGAGAGAUUACAUAAAAAGUACAAUUAAGGGACGCUCAGAAUCCCGAGGCCUUCAAGAACGUGCUGCCUCCAGAAUAUUUUUAGAACAAUCACUGGAGUGAUUCUUCUUAGUUGUAGAAACACUCCAAAUCAGAAAGUCAAUUUUUCCUCUAUUUGCAGAAGUGAGCUGGCUCCACUGGACGGAAUGCGUGUGUUUUGCUUGGCG